CUCUUUAGAGCUGUAAAUAAGCAUCAGUCUUUUAAACUGAGGAAAAUCGCAAUUAGAUUUAAAGAGA
Molecule: transfer RNA, 67 nt
Filed under: Drieschia cf. elegans BG-2021
Lineage: Eukaryota; Metazoa; Annelida; Polychaeta; Phyllodocida; Polynoidae
Description: tRNA-Lys
Source: RNAcentral